Molecule: ribosomal RNA, 821 nt
Filed under: Isoptericola sp.
Lineage: Bacteria; Bacillati; Actinomycetota; Actinomycetes; Micrococcales; Promicromonosporaceae
Description: bacterial SSU rRNA
Rfam family: Bacterial small subunit ribosomal RNA
Source: RNAcentral
GGGUGGAUCAGUGGCGAACGGGUGAGUAACACGUGAGCAACCUGCCCUCCACUUCGGGAUAAGCCUUGGAAACGGGGUCUAAUACCGGAUAUGAGCAUCUGCCGCAUGGUGGGUGUUGGAAAGUUUUUCGGUGGGGGAUGGGCUCGCGGCCUAUCAGCUUGUUGGUGGGGUGAUGGCCUACCAAGGCGUCGACGGGUAGCCGGCCUGAGAGGGCGACCGGCCACACUGGGACUGAGACACGGCCCAGACUCCUACGGGAGGCAGCAGUGGGGAAUAUUGCACAAUGGGCGAAAGCCUGAUGCAGCGACGCCGCGUGAGGGAUGACGGCCUUCGGGUUGUAAACCUCUUUCAGCAGGGAAGAAGGCCUUCGGGUGGACGGUACCUGCAGAAGAAGCGCCGGCUAACUACGUGCCAGCAGCCGCGGUAAUACGUAGGGCGCAAGCGUUGUCCGGAAUUAUUGGGCGUAAAGAGCUCGUAGGCGGUCUGUCGCGUCUGGUGUGAAAACCCGAGGCUCAACCUCGGGCUUGCAUCGGGUACGGGCAGACUAGAGUGCGGUAGGGGAGACUGGAAUUCCUGGUGUAGCGGUGGAAUGCGCAGAUAUCAGGAGGAACACCGAUGGCGAAGGCAGGUCUCUGGGCCGCAACUGACGCUGAGGAGCGAAAGCAUGGGGAGCGAACAGGAUUAGAUACCCUGGUAGUCCAUGCCGUAAACGUUGGGCACUAGGUGUGGGGCUCAUUCCACGAGUUCCGUGCCGCAGCUAACGCAUUAAGUGCCCCGCCUGGGGGAGUACGGCCGCAAGGCUAAAACUCAAAGGAAUUGAC